GUCAUGGGGCAGGCAAGGAAGAUGAGAAUCAAGAGGACCCUGUGAUGCUCAGAGAGGCAAAGUGACUUGCCCAAGGUCACACAGCAGGUAUGUGACAGAGGCUGCUUGUGACCUGUCUGUCCCCCCUGCCCAGUGCUCAUGUCCUUCCUCCAAAGUGUCUAGCUAUCCCUGUGUCUGCACUGAAUGAGACUGGGGUCCCCAGCCAGGGCAUCCACCUCCACCCAGAAAGACCCUUGGCCUUUCUCCCUAAACUCCCCAAGAGUGCAAGAAGGUAGGAAGACCUGCCUGGGCUUCUGAGUCACACUGGCAGCCCUGGAAUCCCUGCCUGGCCACAGACUAGCAUGAUCUCCCUCAGCCUCAACUUCCCUCUCAGGAAAAUGGGACCUCCGGCAGAGGGUUGUUUUAAGGAUUCAGCCAGCUGGGUCUAAAGCUCUCCCGGGCACAUGCUGUGCAAGUGGCUGCCAGUAAAAGUAAAAUCCUCAUCAGGAAGAGGGUGGCCUGGGCAGGGCAUCUCCAAUCCCGCCCUCUUCCAUCCAAUCCCCAACACAGGCCUGGUCCACUCCGCCGGACCCACCUAGGAUGGCCACGACCACGUCGUCGCGCAGGAUCUCGAUGGAGCCUCGGGAGAUGAAGUAGAGGGUGGAGAGCACGUCGCCGAGCAGCCCCCUGGUGAAGGACCCCUCUGUCCAGGGAGAAGUCAGGAGUGACCAGGACAGCGCCAGGGCACAUGCGGGACAAAGGCCCCUGGGCUUUCUGCCCUCCUCCCUCUGUCCUGUGCCUCUUGGCAUCUUACUGGGCCUAGCGGUCAAACUCCCGAGAAGAAAGAAGGAAGGCAAUGGAUUUUUAAAGUUCAGAUCUGUUUUCUCCUUUAAGUUGUAAAAAUACAAUAAAGAUAAAACUCUCCGCCGGGUGUGGUGGCUCAGGCCUGUAAUCCCAGCACUUUGGGAGGCCGAGGUGGGCAGAUCACCUGAGGUCAGGAGUUCGAGACCAACCCAGACAACAUGGUGAAACCCCGUCUGUACCAAAAAAAUAGAAAAAUUAGCCGGGCAUGGUGAUGCCCGUCUGUAAUCCCAGCUACUCGGGAGGCUGAGGCAUGAGAAUCGCUUGAACCCAGGAGGCAGAGGUUGCAGUGAGCCAAGACCAUGCCACUGAGCUCCAGCCUGGGCGACAGAAUGAGACUGUCUCAAAACAAAAAAACCCACAACAACAAAAAAGAGCAAACUCUCAAUUUCUUGUUUUCACCCAUUUUCUUCCCUUGUUUUUGUUUUUCUGGACUUUCAUAUCUCUAAAUACUCUGAACAUCACAA
Molecule: long non-coding RNA, 1307 nt
Filed under: Homo sapiens (human)
Lineage: Eukaryota; Metazoa; Chordata; Mammalia; Primates; Hominidae
Description: HSALNT0243679
Source: RNAcentral